AUUAUACAAUUAAAACUUCGGUGGUUAAAGAUGAGCAUGCGUCCUAUUAGCUUGUUGGUAAGGUAACGGCGGCCCCCGCAACGAUAGGUAGGGGGCCUGAAAGGGUGAUCCCCCACACUGGUACUGAGACACGGACCAGACUCCUACGGGAGGCAGCAGUGAGGAAUAUUGCGCAAUGG
RNAcentral lists this ribosomal RNA (179 nucleotides) under uncultured Bacteroidota bacterium. RNAcentral describes it as "uncultured Bacteroidetes bacterium partial 16S ribosomal RNA". It matches the Rfam family "Bacterial small subunit ribosomal RNA", at positions 192 to 374 of the family's 1533-position model. The record is from RNAcentral. Lineage: Bacteria; Pseudomonadati; Bacteroidota.